GGCACAAAUCUCGCUAAGUAAAUCACUGCAAGGUAACCAACGGCGGUUGCCCCACCUACGACAAAGACGUCGC
This 73-nucleotide non-coding RNA is filed under the name unclassified sequences. The record is from Rfam.